This 461-nucleotide ribosomal RNA is filed under the name uncultured bacterium. RNAcentral's name for it is "partial 16S ribosomal RNA". It matches the Rfam family "Bacterial small subunit ribosomal RNA", at positions 28 to 523 of the family's 1533-position model. The record is from RNAcentral.
GAUGAACGCUGGCGGCGUGCCUAAAACAUGCAAGUCGUGCGGCAGCGGGCCUUCGGGUGCCGGCGAGCGGCGGACGGGUGAGUAACGCGUAGGAACGUACCCCAAAGUGAGGGAUAAGCUCCGGAAACGGAGUCUAAGACCGCAUAUGCUCUUAGGAGUAAAGGAGUAAUCCGCUUUGGGAGCGGCCUGCGUCCGAUUAGUUUGUUGGUGAGGUAAUGGCUUACCAAGACGAUGAUCGGUAGCUGGUUUGAGAGGAUGAUCAGCCACACUGGGACUGAGACACGGCCCAGACUCCUACGGGAGGCAGCAGUUAGGAAUUUUCCACAAUGGGGGCAACCCUGAUGGAGCAACGCCGCGUGCAGGAAGACGGCCUUCGGGUUGUAAACUGCUUUUAAAAGUGAAGAUUAUGACGGUAACUUUAGAAUAAGGAUCGGCUAACUCCGUGCCAGCAGCCGCGGUAA